RNAcentral lists this ribosomal RNA (520 nucleotides) under uncultured Glomus. Its description in RNAcentral is "SSU rRNA". It matches the Rfam family "Eukaryotic small subunit ribosomal RNA", at positions 569 to 1089 of the family's 1831-position model. Lineage: Eukaryota; Fungi; Glomeromycota; Glomeromycetes; Glomerales; Glomeraceae. The record is from RNAcentral.
AGCAGCCGCGGUAAUUCCAGCUCCAAUAGCGUAUAUUAAAGUUGUUGCAGUUAAAAAGCUCGUAGUUGAAUUUCGGGAUCAGUUGGUCGGUCGUGCCUCGGUACGUACUGGUCAAAUUGAUUCCUACCUUCUGACGAACCACGAUGUCAUUAAUUUGGUGUCGCGGGAAAUCAGGACUGUUACUUUGAAAAAAUUAGAGUGUUUAAAGCAGGCUCGCGCUUGAAUACAUUAGCAUGGAAUAAUGAAAUAGGACGUUUGAUUCUAUUUUGUUGGUUUCUAGGAUCGACGUAAUGAUUAAUAGGGAUAGUUGGGGGCAUUAGUAUUCAAUUGUCAGAGGUGAAAUCCUUGGAUUUAUUGAAGACUAACUACUGCGAAAGCAUUUGCCAAGGAUGUUUUCAUUAAUCAAGAACGAAAGUUAGGGAAUCGAAGACGAUCAGAUACCGUCGUAGUCUUAACCAUAAACUAUAGCCGACUAGGGAUCGGAUGAUGUUAAUUUUUAAUGAACUUCAUUCGGCGCCUU